RNAcentral lists this ribosomal RNA (281 nucleotides) under Salmonella enterica. Its description in RNAcentral is "partial 23S ribosomal RNA". It matches the Rfam family "Bacterial large subunit ribosomal RNA", at positions 911 to 1190 of the family's 2925-position model. Lineage: Bacteria; Pseudomonadati; Pseudomonadota; Gammaproteobacteria; Enterobacterales; Enterobacteriaceae. The record is from RNAcentral. RNAcentral also lists the same sequence under 4 other names.
UGUUUCGGCCAGGGGGCCAUCCCGGCUUACCAACCCGAUGCAAACUGCGAAUACCGGAGAAUGUUAUCACGGGAGACACACGGCGGGUGCUAACGUCCGUCGUGAAGAGGGAAACAACCCAGACCGCCAGCUAAGGUCCCAAAGUCAUGGUUAAGUGGGAAACGAUGUGGGAAGGCCCAGACAGCCAGGAUGUUGGCUUAGAAGCAGCCAUCAUUUAAAGAAAGCGUAAUAGCUCACUGGUCGAGUCGGCCUGCGCGGAAGAUGUAACGGGGCUAAACCAU